UACAGAGGGUGCGAGCGUUAACCGGAAUUACUGGGCGUAAGGCGCGCGUAGGCGGCUUGUUAAGUCGGAUGUGAAAUCCCCGGGCUCAACCUGGGCACUGCAUUCGAUACUGGCAAGCUAGAGUAUGGGAGAGGAAGGUAGAAUUCCAGGUGUAGCGGUGAAAUGCGUAGAGAUCUGGAGGAAUACCGAUGGCGAAGGCAGCCUUCUGGCCUAAUACUGACGCUGAGGUGCGAAAGCAUGGGGAGCAAACAGG
This 253-nucleotide ribosomal RNA is filed under the name uncultured bacterium. Its description in RNAcentral is "partial 16S ribosomal RNA". It matches the Rfam family "Bacterial small subunit ribosomal RNA", at positions 524 to 776 of the family's 1533-position model. The record is from RNAcentral.